UGUUCUUGUUUUAUUUUUAUUGCCAUCUUGGAGUAUUAAGAAAGCUGGGGUCACCUGGCAUGAGAAUAGUAACCCUCUGUCUUACAUUCAGUCCUUUCCAAUUUGGGAUGUCCCAUACUGUAAGUUCUGUUUGAAAAGUCAAAGAAAAAGGCUUUGAACCAUCCGAAACUAUCCUUUUAAAUACUUAUUAAUUUAUUCAAAAGUAGGAAUAAGAGGGAAAUAUUGGGAUUUAAUGCUUUUCAGCUUGAAUUUGAGUGCAUUGUUUUUCAACUUUUUUGGAGUCAUUUGCUAAUCAUUUUGAGAAAUGUAAACCAAAACUAACAUAGCAAGUAACAUUGCAGGAUAAUAAUACAUAAACGUGGGAUGAUGUUGUUUUCAUUCCUCCUGGUUUGAUUGUUCCAACUGAUUCCUUCCCAAAAUAGGUAUCUGCGUUCGCCGACCUUAGUAGUUGGCUUCCCUCACAAUUUUUAUGCUUAAUUAUAUAAGAUAAGAAUAUGAUAGCAGUAGGAAUGUGACUGUAAAGUGAUUGCCAAAGGAUGCGACAGUUGUGUUUGUGCAAUUAAGUUACGCCCAGUUAGUAUCCAUUAAUGGGUGUCUGGGAAGGGAAAGAUUGUAUCAAGUGGCAAAGGAUCAUGCAAAAUGCAAUGUACCAUCCUAAGGCACCGUGUUGCAGACGAAAUAUGUUUUUCUUCUUUUGCUGUUCUGAGAAUUGUUUUGGUUCAUAUUUAGUCCGUCCUUGGCCUGCUGACAUCAUGUGUAAGCUGUAUGACUUAAUGGGGCAAUUUUUGGUUUGUGAAUUCAAAUUCAGCUGAAUGUGGGCGGUUUCUCCUCUCUCUUGAUCGUGUUUAUGUGAUCUGCCUUAGAUUAUGAGCGCUGCAGCUUUGUGCAUUUUGCUCUUAUUUUUGAUGAUCAAAUAUGAAAUGCUAAAGUAGAUGUCAUUUACACGACCGUAAAUCCACAUUGCUGUUUGAGAAGUAAUGGGAAUCCAGGACAGACAUGAAAUGCAUUAAUAUGGUGCCUUGCUUGUGGCAUAUGGCAGGGCCAGGGCAAUAUUGAAUGAAUUUCUCACUAGAUUCUGUGUAAUGUUACAAAUCUGGUAGUAGAUUUGUUUAUAAAGUUGUGGUGAGUGGGAAUGGUUUGUUUUGUUUAGAAUUCCGGAAUAAUAAAGAAACGAACGAAAAAAAAAUAAAUGCUUUUUUUUUUUUUUUUUUGUGAUUUUUUUUGACUCAUUCUGAAUUUCCUUAUUUUGGUCUUGCUAAUAAUUUUGUCAUUUUUCAUUCAUGAGUGAACCCAUCACUAAAUUUCCUUCACUUCUUUAAGACGUCAGGGGACCGAAUCUGCCCCCCAACAGUGUCCCUUGGAUCUAUUUGGGGUUUCUUUCUCUCACUUUGGGCGCUUCUUUAUGAUGAUGAUAUUGUAUUUGAUCUUUAUUGUGAUUGAUUGCGCUUGUUAUAUAAUAUACAGUAAGGGAGACAAAUAUUUGGAUUGUCUCUAAAAUGAUCAAGGCCAUAUAAUAAUACAGUAGGGAGACAAAUAUUUGGAUUGUCUAAAAUGACAAGGCCCAAUAAACUGGAUCACGGGUUUGGGGCGUGAGACCAGGCCUUAUUUUACCUUAUGGCCCGGGGACUGGACCGUUGGGCAGGGUUUAGAGUACUGGAUUGGCCAACUGGGUCGCGUUGGUCGGUCGAGUUAAACCAUUUCUAACUGAACUGAGAUCCAUGCUAGGGAUAACGAUUGGGAACUUGAAAGUGUGCUUAACACGUAACCAUGCAGGGCUUGAUGGGCAAGGAGACUUAAACCUAUAAAUAGAAUCACUUCAAAGAGGUUGGUUAUGCAAUUAUUCGCUCUCAAAACUUUGACAUUUGUAGCUCUCAUAGUUAAGUUCCCUUUUCCAUUCACUGACUCGAGUAUCGGUGUGUUUUUUGGGUCAACCCCAGCCUGAGGACUGUAACGAUGUCUUAUUCUGUUCGCAGACGAAAUGGAGUAUUCUGUUCGCUAGGUGAGAAGACGAAGUGAAGAAAACCAUACUAUUGGUGCCCGCAAGGCCAUUCCAUUUUAUAUAUUUUUCCAAUAUUUGGGACUAUUUCUCUUAAAUUAUUGCUCUUAUGGUUUUAAAUAGUGAGAAAAGACAAAGUGGAGUGACAGGAGGGUGAUGGUGAAAGAUGUGGCCUUUUUGUGUUAUCAUUGAUCUCUUUAUUGUAAGAAAGAGUUGUGUACGGUUUUAAAGCAAACUCUUUAUUCAUCAUAUUAGAUCC
RNAcentral lists this long non-coding RNA (2255 nucleotides) under Actinidia chinensis (golden kiwifruit). Its description in RNAcentral is "long non-coding RNA (ACHI_LNC009413)". Lineage: Eukaryota; Viridiplantae; Streptophyta; Magnoliopsida; Ericales; Actinidiaceae. The record is from RNAcentral.